GUUAGUCAUUGCCUCCAAUUGGGGACCCUAUUUAAGUUUAGUUUGUAGGCCCCAAGGCGUGGUUCAUUUUGGUUUUGUUUAUCCUGUGUAAGGAAUACCCACGUCACUGGUUGCUGCUUUUUGUUUUGUUGGAGUCCUGCAUUCUUUAUUUUGUAUUAAAUGGAUUACCUUACCUACCUCUACUCUGCGCCUGUGUCCUCUUCAUCCCACGACCGUGACAACAAUGUUGAAUUUUUUUUUUGUAUAUGACUGUUCUACUAUUUCUAUAUGUAACAAAGUGUGUAAUCAGCCAUUUACUGUAAUUAUUUAACAGAAUCAAAACAACUUCCUUCUGCCCAACCCCUGGGCUUGAACUUUAAAAAAGCCACUGACCAAUCUGAAGAUUCAGUCCAGUUCCAUGCCCCUCCAACCCCCAUGACCACUUCUGGUCACCAAUCUGGAGGAGGAUAUAGGUUUCUUCACAGACCCGACAUCUCAGGGCAAGUACAGUGCAAAUUCAAGUCAAAAUGGCAAUGGUUUCCUCCUCCAACACAUAGUAAACCCUUUUUCUUUCAUUAAAACAGAUUCAGUCCAGUUCCAUGCCCCUCCAACCCCCAUGACCACUUCAGGUCACCAAUCUGGAGCAGGCUAUGGAUGCUCAUCAUUGGGGCCUGCUUUUCAGCAUCCUGAAAACUUCUACAGAUUAAUACUGCAGCAUCUGAGGGAGUUGGCCGAAGAACUGAGGGAUGUGAAACAGCAGGUUUCUUUAAACACAGCCAUAUUACAGAGCCUGACAGCUGGAACCAACGUGGACAUGUCCAUCCCACCAGACGUCAUCCUUCCUCUGGAGGAUAGAAGCAUGCUGGAGGACGUUGAGAGAGGGCUUGGACAAAAUCUGGAAUUAACAGAGAAAUUGGUUGCUUACUUAGCCUCAAGAGGAGGCAGGAACCUAAAGGACUCCGUAAAAAGAAUAUUUUAGAGCCUUUUUACUAACAACCUCGCCAUCGGGAUGAACUGGACAGGGUCGGGACAGAAGGUGUCCUUCAACAACCUCCAUCCACAGCUAGACGUCUCAAGGCGCAGUCACUUCCGGCAUCACCGGUGGCCAUCUUGUCACAGGCAGGCUUCCUGUCGGGCUCUGUGGUACCUAAUAUAAGGUUCAGCCAGGACCACUUGGAGCUUCUCUUCAACGCCAUCAGAGUAUCUGCCAGUUCAAGUACAUCUUUAUGAUGUAAAGCUGAUGGCCCAGUGUGGGGUUGUUAAACCAUGCAGAGAUAAUGUGAUGGCACAGGAUGACACAGAGUCCCUACCAGCUGUCAUCGACACCUCUACAAGCCUGUCAGCUGUAGAUGUGUCCUCUGCAGCAGGAGGAGAAGAUCUUCCAUCCCCGUUUGCUGACAUUCCUGCCCUAGUACAUGAUCACAGCUACCUUCCCGUCCACUUCGAUGGUCUUGUGGACAACGCUCUCAUGUACAUUUCAGGCUCUAAAGAAACUGUCGUGUGAUGUCUGCCGUGCCAGCCUUGUGACAUUCUGCAUCUGCCAUCAAGGACCAGAGCUACCACCUGCUGAAUUAAAAAAACAAUGGAGGUCUGGUGAUUCCAUCAGAGGGAACCGUGAGUGUCAUCAGGGCAGCAGAGUGGGUCAUUCGGCAGUCAUCAGGCAGUACCAGACGAUCACAGCCCAUCAAACUGCUUGAGGUUGUUUACAUUAUCUGAAAAAGGAUCGGUUCAGAGGUUGUUUGUGUUGGGAUAGACAGUAUGGGAUAGACAUCCACCACCAUAGGUUGUUAAAAAUAAUUCUGUCCCUGUUUUUUAAGUUAAGGCUGCAUCACAUCGCCAGAAUUACAAUCCUCAGCUUACAGAGCAACAACAUGCAACAGAAACUUAAUAAAACUGUCCUUUUCAUAGGGCAUUAGCCCAAGGUAUGUGUUUUCAAGGUACUGUCCUCUUUUACUUCAACAGUAGUGUAGUGCUAUCUACAGCAUUUAUUUAUUUGUAUAUAU
Long non-coding RNA from Esox lucius (northern pike), 1982 nucleotides. Lineage: Eukaryota; Metazoa; Chordata; Actinopteri; Esociformes; Esocidae. The record is from Ensembl.